This 429-nucleotide ribosomal RNA is filed under the name uncultured archaeon. RNAcentral describes it as "bacterial SSU rRNA". It matches the Rfam family "Archaeal small subunit ribosomal RNA", at positions 474 to 903 of the family's 1478-position model. The record is from RNAcentral.
UACCAGCUCUCCGAGUUGUAGGGAUGAUUAUUGGGCUUAAAGCGUCCGUAGCUGGCUUAGCAAGUCUCCUGUUAGAUUCAGCGACCUAAUCGUUGAGCCGCGGGAGAUACUACUAGGCUAGGAGGCGGGAGAGGUCGACGGUACUUUCGGGGUAGGGGUGAAAUCCUAUAAUCCCGGGAGGACCACCAGUGGCGAAGGCUGUCGACUAGAACGCGCUCGACGGUGAGGGACGAAAGCUGGGGGAGCGAACCGGAUUAGAUACCCGGGUAGUCCCAGCUGUAAACUAUGCGGGCUAGGUGUUGGGGUGGCUACGGGCCACUUCAGUGCCGCAGGAAAGCCAUUAAGCCCGCCGCCUGGGGAGUACGGUCGCAAGGCUGAAACUUAAAGGAAUUGGGCGGGGAGCACCACAAGGCGUGAAGCUUGCGGUUC